UAAGGAAUAUUGCUCAAUGGGAGAAAUCCUGAAGCAGCAACGCCGCGUGGAGGAUGAAGGGUCUAUGACUUGUAAACUCCUGUAAAGAAGGAAAAAAUUCCCAUUUGAUGGGAGAUGAUGGUACUUCUGGAGUAAGCCCCGGCUAACUACGUGCCAGCAGCCGCGGUAAUACGUAGGGGGCAAGCGUUGUCCGGAUUUACUGGGUGUAAAGGGUGCUCAGGCGGAUUUGUAAGUCAGAGGUGAAAUCUUACAGCUUAACUGUGAAACUGCCUUUGAUACGGCAAGCCUAGAGUAUGGAAGAGAGUGAUGGAAUAUCUGGUGUAGCAGUGAAAUGCGUAGAUAUCAGAUAGAACACCAAUGGCGAAGGCAGUCACUUGAUCCAUUACUGACGCUAAAGCACGAAAGCGUGGGUAGCAAACA
RNAcentral lists this ribosomal RNA (420 nucleotides) under uncultured bacterium. RNAcentral describes it as "bacterial SSU rRNA". It matches the Rfam family "Bacterial small subunit ribosomal RNA", at positions 355 to 774 of the family's 1533-position model. The record is from RNAcentral.